UACGGGGGGGGCAAGCGUUGUUCGGAAUUACUGGGCGUAAAGGGCUCGUAGGCGGCCAACUAAGUCGGAUGUGAAAUCCCCAGGCUUAACCUGGGAACUGCAUCCGAUACUGGAUGGCUUGAAUCCGGGAGAGGGAUGCAGAAUUCCAGGUGUAGCGGUGAAAUGCGCAGAUAUCGGGAGGAACACCAAUGGCGAAGGCAGCUCGCUGGGACGGUACUGACGCUGAGACGCGAAAGCGUGGGGAGCAAACAGG
Molecule: ribosomal RNA, 253 nt
Filed under: uncultured bacterium
Lineage: Bacteria
Description: partial 16S ribosomal RNA
Rfam family: Bacterial small subunit ribosomal RNA
Source: RNAcentral